This 583-nucleotide ribosomal RNA is filed under the name uncultured archaeon. RNAcentral's name for it is "bacterial SSU rRNA". It matches the Rfam family "Archaeal small subunit ribosomal RNA", at positions 1 to 592 of the family's 1478-position model. The record is from RNAcentral.
UCCGGUUGAUCCUGCCGGACCUGACUGCUAUCGGAUUGAUACUAAGCCAUGCGAGUCAUUGUAGCAAUACAAGGCAGACGGCUCAGUAACGCGUAGUCAACCUAACCUAUGGACGGGAAUAACCUCGGGAAACUGAGAAUAAUGCCCGAUAGAACACUAUACCUGGAAUGGUUUGUGUUCCAAAUGAUUUAUCGCCGUAGGAUGGGACUGCGGCCUAUCAGUUUGUUGGUGAGGUAAUGGCCCACCAAGACUAUUACAGGUACGGGCUCUGAGAGGAGUAGCCCGGAGAUGGGUACUGAGACACGGACCCAGGCCCUAUGGGGCGCAGCAGGCGAGAAAACUUUGCAAUGUGCGAAAGCACGACAAGGUUAAUCCGAGUGGUUUCUGCUAAAGGAACCUUUUGUUAGUCCUAGAAACACUAACGAAUAAGGGGUGGGCAAGUUCUGGUGUCAGCCGCCGCGGUAAAACCAGCACCUCAGGUGGUCAGGAUGAUUAUUGGGCCUAAAGCAUCCGUAGCCGGCUCUGUAAGUUUUCGGUUAAAUCUGUACGCUCAACGUACAGGCUGCCGGAAAUACUGCAGAGC